This 357-nucleotide ribosomal RNA is filed under the name Magnusiomyces capitatus. RNAcentral's name for it is "eukaryotic LSU rRNA". It matches the Rfam family "Eukaryotic large subunit ribosomal RNA", at positions 79 to 458 of the family's 3401-position model. The record is from RNAcentral. Lineage: Eukaryota; Fungi; Ascomycota; Dipodascomycetes; Dipodascales; Dipodascaceae.
CUUAGUAACGGCGAGUGAAGCGGCAAAAGCUCAAUUUGAAAACGCUUCGGCGUGUUGUAAGUAAAGUGGUUAGACGCUUUUUAAUAAGUCCCUUGGAACAGGGCGCCAUAGAGGGUGAUAGCCCCGUAUUAAAUUGUCUAGUGUGCUACUUUAGAGCGAGUCGAGUUGUUUGGGAAUGCAGCUCAAAUAGGUGGUAAACUCCAUCUAAAAGCUAAAUAUUGCUGGGAGACCGAUAGCGAACAAGUACAGUGAUGGAAAGAUGAAAAGCACUUUGGAAAAAGAGAGUGAAAUAGCCGUGUGAAAUUGUUGGAGGGGAAGGCGAUGGUAGGAAUAAAGAGGCUGCGGUUUGAAAUAAUG